ACCUCCUUCCGGUCUAAACAGUGAACGCCUCCGCAUCGACUCACGGGUUCACCUCCUUCCGGUCUGAACAGUGAACUCCUCCGCAUGGACUCACGGGUUCACCUCCUUCCGGUCUGAACAGUGAACGCCUCCGCAUCGACUCACGGGUUCACCUCCUUCCGGUCUGAACAGUGAACUCCUCCGCAUGGACUCACGGGUUCACCUCCUUCCGGUCUGAACAGUGAACUCCUCCGCAUCGACUCACGGGUUCACCUCCUUCCGGUCUGAACAGUGAACUCCUCCGCAUGGACUCACGGGUUCACCUCCUUCCGGUCUGAACAGUGAACUCCGCAUCGACUCACGCGUUCACCUCCUUCCGGUCUAAAUGGUAAACUCCUCUGCAUUUUGUCUCGCUUCUCAGAAAGGAAACACUGGUUCUGUAAACCUGUUUGAGAAGAAAAGCUCGAGGUUUCUUGGCCUCUCUGCUUCUGGAGCCAGGGGAAAAAAUAGCCCCAGGCUGAAGACAGGAGGGACCAGAUUGCUGCUUGGUGAUGCGAUCUCACUGCAGAGGCAGCCAGGAGACCCUCCUGAGACGAAUCGGAGAGUCCAUGCUGCUUUUACACACAUCCUAGUUCUUUUAUAACUAGCCUUUUCCUAUUAACGGACAUCAUUCAAAAGCCAGUUUUAAGCAACAUAAAUAUUGAAAACAAUACUAUACUAUUUAGAAUUAAUUAUAAGUUUUGUUUUUAAAGCCUAAAUCUUUUAUUGUUGUUUGAACCCUGGGCACUGAAGCUAAUAAUGUAACUUUUCUCCCUUCUUUCUUCUUUGGCAUAGAUUUAAAGAACUGUUAGACUCAUUUAAAAUGCUAUUAGGCAUUUUAAAGAGUAAUUGUUAAAUGUGUUGUCUCUUGUGGGACUGGAAAUGUUCUGUUCUUAUCUGGCGCUGGUUACAUCCUGUUUUUCAUUUGGGAAAGUGCAUUGAGCUGGAAAUUUAUAUGUUCAAUUUCUGUAUGUAAAUUGUACUUCAGUAAAAAUUUUCAAAAAA
Long non-coding RNA from Homo sapiens (human), 1023 nucleotides. Ensembl annotates it as long intergenic non-protein coding RNA 2434. Lineage: Eukaryota; Metazoa; Chordata; Mammalia; Primates; Hominidae. The record is from Ensembl.